GUAAUAAUCCUGUAGUCGAAAAUGUUGUCUCUCUUGAGUGGAUCCUGAGUACGACGGAGCACGUGAAAUUCCGUCGGAAUCUGGGAGGACCAUCUCCUAAGGCUAAAUACUCUCUAGUGACCGAUAGUGAACCAGUACCGUGAGGGAAAGGUGAAAAGCACCCCGGAAGGGGAGUGAAAUAGAACCUGAAACCGUGUGCUUACAAGUAGUCAGAGCCCGUUAAUGGGUGAUGGCGUGCCUUUUGUAGAAUGAACCGGCGAGUUACGAUUUGAUGCAAGGUUAAGCAGUAAAUGUGGAGCCGUAGCGAAAGCGAGUCUGAAUAGGGCGUUUAGUAUUUGGUCGUAGACCCGAAACCAGGUGAUCUACCCUUGGUCAGGUUGAAGUUCAGGUAACACUGAAUGGAGGACCGAACCGACUUACGUUGAAAAGUGAGCGGAUGAACUGAGGGUAGCGGAGAAAUUCCAAUCGAACCUGGAGAUAGCUGGUUCUCUCCGAAAUAGCUUUAGGGCUAGCCUCAAGUGAUGAUUAUUGGAGGUAGAGCACUGUUUGGACGAGGGGCCCCUCUCGGGUUACCGAAUUCAGACAAACUCCGAAUGCCAAUUAAUUUAACUUGGGAGUCAGAACAUGGGUGAUAAGGUCCGUGUUCGAAAGGGAAACAGCCCAGACCACCAGCUAAGGUCCCAAAAUAUAUGUUAAGUGGAAAAGGAUGUGGCGUUGCCCAGACAACUAGGAUGUUGGCUUAGAAGCAGCCAUCAUUUAAAGAGUGCGUAAUAGCUCACUAGUCGAGU
This 788-nucleotide ribosomal RNA is filed under the name Staphylococcus aureus. Its description in RNAcentral is "partial 23S ribosomal RNA". It matches the Rfam family "Bacterial large subunit ribosomal RNA", at positions 364 to 1154 of the family's 2925-position model. Lineage: Bacteria; Bacillati; Bacillota; Bacilli; Caryophanales; Staphylococcaceae. The record is from RNAcentral.